Molecule: transfer RNA, 69 nt
Filed under: Marmota marmota marmota (Alpine marmot)
Lineage: Eukaryota; Metazoa; Chordata; Mammalia; Rodentia; Sciuridae
Also listed under: 1 other name
Rfam family: tRNA
About the family: Transfer RNA (tRNA) molecules are approximately 80 nucleotides in length. Their secondary structure includes four short double-helical elements and three loops (D, anti-codon, and T loops).
Source: Rfam by way of RNAcentral
GGAAUUGUAGCUCACUGGUAGAGCGCAUACCUGGCACAUGUGAGGCCCUGGGUUUGAUCCUCAGCACCA